RNAcentral lists this ribosomal RNA (210 nucleotides) under Triticum aestivum (bread wheat). RNAcentral describes it as "partial small subunit ribosomal RNA". Lineage: Eukaryota; Viridiplantae; Streptophyta; Magnoliopsida; Poales; Poaceae. The record is from RNAcentral.
UGGUAUCUUCGUCGCAGAGUCAUUCUUACUGAAGAUAACCUUAUUAAGAGAAAUUGGCAUGGAAGUCCGCAGUGUGUCUUUUGUCACCAUGAGGAGAUAAUAAAACAUUUAUUCUUCCAAUGCAUAUUAGCUCAUUCUAUAUGGUCAGUCAUCCAAAUAGCUUCUAGCUUGUAUCCUCCCUGUAGUGUUGCUAAUGUAUUUGGCAACUGA